CAGUAGCCACGGUAAUACAGAGGGUGCGAGCGUUAAUCGGAUUUACUGGGCGUAAAGCGUGUGUAGGUUGUUGUUCAAGUUAGUUGUGAAAUCCCUGGGCUCAACCUGGGAACUGCUUCUGAGACUGAACGACUAGAGUACGGUAGAGGGUGGUGGAAUUUCCGGUGUAGCGGUGAAAUGCGUAGAUAUCGGAAGGAACAUCAAUGGCGAAAGCAGCCACCUGGGCCUGUACUGACACUGAGACACGAAAGCGUGGGGAUCAAACAGGAUUAGAGACUCCGGUAGUCCCUGUCUCUUAUAC
Molecule: ribosomal RNA, 301 nt
Filed under: uncultured bacterium
Lineage: Bacteria
Description: partial 16S ribosomal RNA
Rfam family: Bacterial small subunit ribosomal RNA
Source: RNAcentral